RNAcentral lists this ribosomal RNA (301 nucleotides) under uncultured bacterium. RNAcentral's name for it is "partial 16S ribosomal RNA". It matches the Rfam family "Bacterial small subunit ribosomal RNA", at positions 509 to 807 of the family's 1533-position model. The record is from RNAcentral.
CAGCCGCCGCGGGAAUACGAAGGGGGCUAGCGUUGCUCGGAAUUACUGGGCGUAAAGGGAGCGUAGGCGGAUGAAUUAGUCAGGGGUGAAAUCCCGGGGCUCAACCUCGGAACUGCCUUUGAUACUGUUCAUCUUGAGUAUGGGAGAGGUGUGUGGAACUCCGAGUGUAGAGGUGAAAUUCGUAGAUAUUCGGAAGAACACCAGUGGCGAAGGCGACACACUGGCCCAUUACUGACGCUGAGGCUCGAAAGCGUGGGGAGCAAACAGGAUUAGAUACCCCUGUAGUCCCUGUCUCUUAUAC